UUGGAGGGCAAGUCUGGUGCCAGCAGCCGCGGUAAUUCCAGCUCCAAUAGCGUAUAUUAAAGUUGUUGCAGUUAAAAAGCUCGUAGUUGAAUUUCGGGAUUGACACAUCGGUCGUGCCCUAAGGGGUAUGAACUGGUGUAGUCAGUUUCUCACCUUCUGGAGAACCGCGAUGUCCUUAAUUGGGUGCCGCNGGGAACCAGGACCUUUACUUUGAAAAAAUUAGAGUGUUUAAAGCAGGCAUUUUGCUUGAAUACAUUAGCAUGGAAUAAUAAAAUAGNANGGAUGGUUCUAUUUUGUUGGUUUCUAGGAUCACCGUAAUGAUUAAUAGGGAUAGUUGGGGGCAUUAGUAUUCAAUUGUCAGAGGUGAAAUUCUUGGAUUUAUUGAAGACUAACUACUGCGAAAGCAUUUGCCAAGGAUGUUUUCAUUAAUCAAGAACGAAAGUUAGGGGAUCGAAGACGAUCAGAUACCGUCGUAGUCUUAACCAUAAACUAUGCCGACUAGGAAUCAGACGAUGUUAAUUUUUUAAUGACUCGUUCGGCGCCUUACGGGAAAC
This 554-nucleotide ribosomal RNA is filed under the name Retama raetam. RNAcentral's name for it is "SSU rRNA". It matches the Rfam family "Eukaryotic small subunit ribosomal RNA", at positions 548 to 1098 of the family's 1831-position model. RNAcentral also lists the same sequence under 1 other name. Lineage: Eukaryota; Viridiplantae; Streptophyta; Magnoliopsida; Fabales; Fabaceae. The record is from RNAcentral.